RNAcentral lists this ribosomal RNA (1699 nucleotides) under Borreliella burgdorferi (Lyme disease spirochete). RNAcentral describes it as "bacterial LSU rRNA". It matches the Rfam family "Bacterial large subunit ribosomal RNA", at positions 1197 to 2925 of the family's 2925-position model. Lineage: Bacteria; Pseudomonadati; Spirochaetota; Spirochaetia; Spirochaetales; Borreliaceae. The record is from RNAcentral.
AAGCUUUGGAUCUUAACGAAAGUUAAGAUGGUAGGGGAGCGUUCUGUAAGCCAGAGAAGUUAAACUGGAAAGUUUGAUGGAGGUAUCAGAAGUGAGAAUGCAGGUAUGAGUAACGAAAAAAUGGGUGAGAUUCCCAUUCGCCGAAAACCUAAGGUUUCCUGGGUAAAGGUCGUCUUCCCAGGGUUAGUCGGCCCCUAAGGCAAAGCUGAAAAGUGUAGUCGAUGGGAAACGGGUUAAUAUUCCCGUACCUCUUAUAGUUUCGAUGGAGUGACGCAUGAGGUUAACUACUGCUAGGCGAUGGUUGUCCUAGUUUAAGCAUUAAGGCGAUGAUCUUAAUAGGAAAAUCCGUUAAGAGAGCUAAGAUGUGAUGAUGAGUGCUAUUUAGGUAGCAUGAAAUGUAGGUAGUCAAGGUGCCAAGAAAUAGCUUCUAAGGUUAGGCUAUAAGGGACCGUACCGCAAACCGACACAGGUAGGUGGGAUGAAAAUUCUAAGGCGCGCGAGAGAAUCCACGUUAAGGAACUCUGCAAAAUACGUACGUAACUUCGGGAUAAGUACGACCUAAGCAAUUAGGUAGCAUAAAAAUGGUCCAAACGACUGUUUACCAAAAACACAGGUCUCUGCAAAUCUGUAAAGAGAAGUAUAGGGACUGACACCUGCCCGGUGCUGGAAGGUUAAGAGGAGAUGUUAGUUUAUGCGAAGCAUUGAAUUUAAGCCCCAGUAAACGGCGGCCGUAACUAUAACGGUCCUAAGGUAGCGAAAUUCCUUGUCGGGUAAGUUCCGACCCGCACGAAUGGUGUAACGAUUUGGACGCUGUCUCAACGUGGAGCUCGGUGAAAUUGAAGUAUCGGUGAAGAUGCCGAUUACUUGUGGUUAGACGGAAAGACCCCGUGAACCUUUACUAUAGCUUGGUAUUGAGAUUUGAUUAAAUAUGUGUAGGAUAGGUGGGAGACUUUGAAGCUAUCUCGUCAGGGGUAGUGGAGUCAAUCUUGAAAUACCACCCUUGUUUAAUUAGGUUUCUAACUUAUAGAAAUAUGAGGAGAGUGCCAGGUGGGUAGUUUGACUGGGGCGGUCGCCUCCUAAAGAGUAACGGAGGUGCGCAAAGGUUACCUUAGAGUGGUUGGAAAUCACUCUGUAAGUGUAAAGGCAUAAGGUAGCUUAACUGUAAGACUGACAAGUCGAACAGAUACGAAAGUAGGUCUUAGUGAUCUGCGGUGGCAAGUGGAAGCGCCGUCACUUAACGAAUAAAAGGUACUCCGGGGAUAACAGGCUUAUCCUUCCCAAGAGUUCACAUCGACGGAAGGGUUUGGCACCUCGAUGUCGGCUCAUCGCAUCCUAGGGCUGGAGCAGGUCCUAAGGGUAUGGCUGUUCGCCAUUUAAAGCGGUACGCGAGCUGGGUUCAGAACGUCGUGAGACAGUUUGGUCCCUAUCUGCCACAAGCGUUGGAUAUUUGAGAGGAGCUAUCUUUAGUACGAGAGGACCGAGAUGGACGAACCUCUAGUGUACCAGUUAUCCUGCCAAGGGUAAGUGCUGGGUAGCUACGUUCGGAAAGGAUAACCGCUGAAAGCAUCUAAGUGGGAAGCCUUCCUCAAGAUGAGAUAUCCUUUAAGGGUCCUGGAAGAAUACCAGGUCGAUAGGUUAGAAGUGUAAGUAUAGCAAUAUAUUAAGCUGACUAAUACUAAUUACCCGUAUCUUUGGCCAU